CAAUAUUUAUUAGUUACAGGUGCCCUUAGAUAGGGUGAAUAGGGAACUGGGUGAGAAUCCCGGACGGACCCACCACUGUAAAGAGGAGACUUAUGCAUUGUCCACUGGGAAACUGGGAAGGCGCAUAGUGUCGAUGAUUCUUAGUCAGGAGACCUGCCUGUGAUGUUUGUGAGUC
This 175-nucleotide non-coding RNA is filed under the name Desulfosporosinus youngiae. RNAcentral also lists the same sequence under 1 other name. The record is from RNAcentral. Lineage: Bacteria; Bacillati; Bacillota; Clostridia; Eubacteriales; Desulfitobacteriaceae.